RNAcentral lists this ribosomal RNA (446 nucleotides) under uncultured bacterium. Its description in RNAcentral is "partial 16S ribosomal RNA". It matches the Rfam family "Bacterial small subunit ribosomal RNA", at positions 29 to 523 of the family's 1533-position model. The record is from RNAcentral.
ACGAACGCUGGCGGCAGGCCUAAAACAUGCAAGUCGAACGAACCUUCGGGUUAGUGGCGCACGGGUGAGUAACACGUGGGAAUGUGCCUCUGGGUGCGGAACAACGUCGGGAAACUAACGCUAAUACCGCAUAAUGUCUACGGACCAAAGAUUUAUUGCCCAGAGAUCAGCCCGCGUCUGAUUAGCUAGUUGGUGAGGUAAUGGCUCACCAAGGCGACGAUCAGUAGCUGGUCUGAGAGGAUGAUCAGCCACACUGGAACUGAGACACGGUCCAGACUCCUACGGGAGGCAGCAGUUAGGAAUAUUGGACAAUGGGGGCAACCCUGAUCCAGCCAUGCCGCGUGUGUGAAGAAGGCCUUAGGGUUGUAAAGCACUUUCGGCUGUGAAGAUAAUGACAGUAGCAGAAGAAGAAGCUCCGGCUAAAUUCGUGCCAGCAGCCGCGGUAA